AUUGAACGCUGGCGGCAGGCCUAACACAUGCAAGUCGAACGGUAACAGGAAGAAGCUUGCUUCUUUGCUGACGAGUGGCGGACGGGUGAGUAAUGUCUGGGAAACUGCCUGAUGGAGGGGGAUAACUACUGGAAACGGUAGCUAAUACCGCAUAACGUCGCAAGACCAAAGAGGGGGACCUUCGGGCCUCUUGCCAUCGGAUGUGCCCAGAUGGGAUUAGCUAGUAGGUGGGGUAACGGCUCACCUAGGCGACGAUCCCUAGCUGGUCUGAGAGGAUGACCAGCCACACUGGAACUGAGACACGGUCCAGACUCCUACGGGAGGCAGCAGUGGGGAAUAUUGCACAAUGGGCGCAAGCCUGAUGCAGCCAUGCCGCGUGUAUGAAGAAGGCCUUCGGGUUGUAAAGUACUUUCAGCGGGGAGGAAGGGAGUAAAGUUAAUACCUUUGCUCAUUGAUGUUACCCGCAGAAGAAGCACCGGCUAACUCCGUG
Molecule: ribosomal RNA, 490 nt
Filed under: uncultured bacterium
Lineage: Bacteria
Description: partial 16S ribosomal RNA
Rfam family: Bacterial small subunit ribosomal RNA
Source: RNAcentral